Molecule: ribosomal RNA, 253 nt
Filed under: uncultured bacterium
Lineage: Bacteria
Description: partial 16S ribosomal RNA
Rfam family: Bacterial small subunit ribosomal RNA
Source: RNAcentral
UACGUAGGGGGCAAGCGUUGUCCGGAAUCAUUGGGCGUAAAGCGCGUGUAGGCGGCUUCGUAAGUCCGUUGUGAAAGUCCAGGGCUCAACCCUGGAAUGCCGAUGGAUACUGCGGAGCUAGAGUCCGGAAGAGGCGAGUGGAAUUCCCGGUGUAGCGGUGAAAUGCGCAGAUAUCGGGAGGAACACCAAUGGCGAAGGCAGCUCGCUGGGACGGUACUGACGCUGAGACGCGAAAGCGUGGGGAGCAAACGGG